UACGUAGGUGGCAAGCGUUGUCCGGAAUUAUUGGGCGUAAAGCGCGCGCAGGCGGUUCCUUAAGUCUGAUGUGAAAGCCCACGGCUCAACCGUGGAGGGUCAUUGGAAACUGGGGAACUUGAGUGCAGGAGAGAAGAGUGGAAUUCCACGUGUAGCGGUGAAAUGCGUAGAGAUGUGGAGGAACACCAGUGGCGAAGGCGACUCUUUGGUCUGUAACUGACGCUGAGGCGCGAAAGCGUGGGGAGCAAACAGG
RNAcentral lists this ribosomal RNA (253 nucleotides) under uncultured bacterium. RNAcentral describes it as "partial 16S ribosomal RNA". It matches the Rfam family "Bacterial small subunit ribosomal RNA", at positions 524 to 776 of the family's 1533-position model. The record is from RNAcentral.